Non-coding RNA from Aegilops tauschii subsp. strangulata, 2148 nucleotides. NCBI's taxonomy places the organism in Eukaryota, Viridiplantae, Streptophyta, Magnoliopsida, Poales, Poaceae. The record is from RefSeq and is a predicted model, not a curated record.
ACGUCGUGAUGGUUCGACCUUCACGAUCGCCUCGCUCCCCUCCACCCCACCCUCCUACGAUUCCUCGAAAAUCGGACUGCCUUCCCACCCCUCCGCUCACGUGAAAAAAAAAAGAAAAACAACGCACGUCCCCACGUCCCCGUAUCCCACCUCCCACUCCCUUCCCCCAAAUCCCUCGCUCUCGAUUCCCUAUUCUCUCCAGAGAGGAAUCACCGCCGCCGACCUCCUCCCACCUACAGCGACCUCGAGCGGCAGCGAACUGCAGCCAAGCUAGAUUGGAGUGGUGGAUCCGUGCCCUUGACAUCUCACGAAGUCCAUGAGGAGGGCGACGCGGGGAGGGCGCGACGACGGCAACGACGAGCGAUGGCGACGUGGGAAGGGCGUGGCGACCAGGAGCGGCGCAUCGACGGCAACGACAAGCGACCGCCGAGUUGGGAAUCGGAGCAGGUGUGGCAGAACGACAUCGACCUCCUCAAGCCGUCGGCGGGUCUAGAGAAGCUCAACUCAUUCCUCAUGGUGCGCUGUUAAACCUUGUCGAGGGAGGCGGUGGCGACUGGUGGUGCGAAGCUGAUCCUCCACAAGGGCUUCCCCAUGCUGCUACGCUCUCCUGUCGGUCUCUUCUUGCCUUCGCUCAGGCAGGCACUGGCGCGGCUGACCGGCCGUUAAUCAGCGACGGACAACAUGGCAACGCAGGGGGUGAAGCAAACACUUAUUGGGAGGUACUCAAAAUUUGAUCACUUUGUUGUAGAAUCAGGUGCUGAUUAAUUAAUCAUUGACUGAUUUUGAAUCUCUGCCAAUAGUUCAACAUCUUUUUUUAAUCAUAAGGUCUAAAAGGUAUCAUUCAAAAUCUGCAGAUGAUCAGUAGUGUCAAACCCACAUCCUCUCUGCCAUCUUAUACAUGAACUGCUUUGUAAAAAGUGGAAAAUUGUUGCUUGUAAUGUUGAUGUGCAGACUACCAAAUUGGGAAAUUUUCGAUCAUGGCGAAACUACACUGUAAAAAGUGAAUCAUAUUAGUAAUGUCUCCCAACUCUCAAAUUGUUGCUUGUUAUAUUAAUCUGCAGACUACCAAAUUGGAAGAUUUUCAAUCAUGAUAUGAUUCUAAGAAUGGAUGCAUGAUUGCAGAUGGCUACCAAACCGUAAAAAUUCAACAUUCAAAAGAUGUAUUUUGUAUUAGCAGUUUUGAUGCAUGAUUGCAGCUGCAUGUAGGUUUCGGUUUGUCCAAGAACUGUCUAUGUAUACCGAUAAUGAUUACUCCAUCCGUCCCAAAAUAAGUUUAUUUGGUUUAGUACAGUUUAUUUAUACUAUAGAACUGUACUACCUGUACAAAAUCAAAGAUACUUAUUUUGGGACUGGGGGAGUACUCUGUUUUCAAAUGGCGCCUGCUGUACACAUGACAACUGUGCGUGUAUAAAUCAGUAUCAUGUUGCCUGCACAUUGAACUUAUAAUUUUUUUUUCUGAAUAAUGUGUCAUAUUUUGAUUCCUGUCAAAAUGACCAUUGCUAUUUGCUUUCUAGACAUCUUGUAUGUGGCUUGUGGUGAUAACAAUUUUUAUUUUUCUCAGGAUUUGAUUAUGAUCAUGAAGGGUACAUUACGAUUUACGAGCAUUUAAUCUUCUCUGAUAAUCAAAGUGCCGCAUAGUCUUAUGUGCAUUCAUCAGAGCUAUUCCACAAAUUUGUCCCCCCUUAUGCCUUUUUACACUUUUAUAUGUGUAGCUUUUAAUUUUUUUAAGACGUUCAUUCUUGUUUUAUAAGUCUUCAUGUGUGCAGAAUUACUUUUGCGGUGAGCUGGAGUGUGACGUCUUCUCACGGGCUACUGUCAUCAAUCAAGGUGGUCAUCGGUCGAUAUCAAGCUUGACGAGUACUUCCUGAAGGCUGAUUUCUGCUCCCGCCGCGUCGCUGACCGAGGCCCCAUCUACGUGGGAAGCUGCUAUUUUUUUGAUAGAUUGGCAGUGAGAUGCUUGGAUAGGAGAAAAGAAAUCAGAAGAGCAUGAGAGAUAGAUGUUGAGAACCUAAAUAAUGCACACACAUUUACAUAUUUCAUGCGAUGGUAGUAUGUCGUCGUAGUUUUUGUGUUGGUUGUCCUACUGAAUGUUCCUGUUUGUCCUAACUCAUCACAUCACUCUCAAUUUUCAGUCAUGCUUGGAGCUUU